GCCAUUUGAAUAAAAGCAUGUUUUUUCUAAUACCCCUACAAAGGUAAGCAGAAUAACCAGCAAAAGGAUAAGGGCACAGAUGCAUGGAAUCAGAAUUAGGAGCAAAAGUCGAAGGAACUUGGCAGAAGCCAGUUUUUGAGAGCAGCCAUCCCCCACGUUAUCCUCAUCUGCUCCUAAGACCCUUCUGGCGGAGAGGACCUGCCGGUAGCGCUCCUCCUCCGCGGGCAGGGCAGGGAACUGUUGCAUGGAGAGCAUGCUCGCGCUGUCGUCGGCUCCUCUCCGCUCUCUCCUGUCCCCCACUCUUGUCUGCCCCCGGCGCUGCCGAGCCGCCCGCCUCCCGAAGGCGCACACACGCUUGCCGGGCGCGGAGUGGGG
This 375-nucleotide long non-coding RNA is filed under the name Gallus gallus (chicken). Lineage: Eukaryota; Metazoa; Chordata; Aves; Galliformes; Phasianidae. The record is from RNAcentral.